RNAcentral lists this small RNA (554 nucleotides) under human gut metagenome. RNAcentral's name for it is "ROOL RNA". It matches the Rfam family "ROOL RNA". From Rfam's summary of the family: Firmicutes, Fusobacteria (1 example), Tenericutes (1 example). Environment (Cow rumen (57)) The record is from RNAcentral.
AUUAAACAUAUUAUUACCCAAGUGCUAAACUGUAAUAUCAUACAGCUUGGAAUUGUUCGAUAAGUAGUCAGACAUACGAAUACGUUUGUAAGGUUGCUUUCUAUGUAUAGAGAUAUAUGUAGAGGAGAGGUAAAAUUCAACAAUGGACAAUGUGCAGGGUUUAUCGCUUAAUAAAACACUAGAGUUGUCGUAGCCACAAUAGACGGGCUAGUAGUCAAUAAGCCUAUACCUCAUAUCUAGCAAAUAUGAAGCAAUGUAGGUAAUGCUAAACAAGGCUAUUUCUCGUGAUGUUCUUGAAAGAGAACUAUAAGACAUAACUAGGUUAAAGUAGCCCAAUACGAGACAACUUACAGAACAAUAGGUAUUAGAUUGGUUAAUACAUAUAAAAUUAUCUGAAUGAUGGGUGAAAUUUACGAGAAAUCAAUCUCGUACGAGCUAGAACGGGGCAAGAAGUAUAGAGGUCGCAACUUUAUGCUCAGACUUGCUUUCUCGGUGGUUGAAUAAUUAAGAAGAUAAAACUACUGUAAGGGGAAACUCUAAUAAUAUGUUUGUAU